UACGUAGGGGGCAAGCGUUGUCCGGAAUCAUUGGGCGUAAAGCGCGUGUAGGCGGCCCGGUAAGUCCGCUGUGAAAGUCGGGGGCUCAACCCUGGAAUGCCGGUGGAUACUGGCGGGCUAGAGUGCAGAAGAGGCGAGUGGAAUUCCUGGUGUAGCGGUGAAAUGCGCAGAUAUCAGGAGGAACACCGGUGGCGAAGGCGCCACUCUGGUCCGUUACUGACGCUGAGGAGCGAAAGCGUGGGUAGCAAACAGG
RNAcentral lists this ribosomal RNA (253 nucleotides) under uncultured bacterium. RNAcentral's name for it is "partial 16S ribosomal RNA". It matches the Rfam family "Bacterial small subunit ribosomal RNA", at positions 524 to 776 of the family's 1533-position model. The record is from RNAcentral.